This 680-nucleotide ribosomal RNA is filed under the name uncultured Clostridium sp. RNAcentral's name for it is "bacterial SSU rRNA". It matches the Rfam family "Bacterial small subunit ribosomal RNA", at positions 46 to 728 of the family's 1533-position model. Lineage: Bacteria; Bacillati; Bacillota; Clostridia; Eubacteriales; Clostridiaceae. The record is from RNAcentral.
GCUUAACACAUGCAAGUCGAACGGGAUUUAGUAAACGGAAGCCUCGGUGGAAGAUUACUAAUGAGAGUGGCGAACGGGUGAGUAACGCGUGAGCAACCUGCCUAUGACAGUGGGAUAGCCUCGGGAAACCGGGAUUAAUACCGCAUAAAAUCGUAGAAACACAUGUUUCAACGGUCAAAGAUUUAUCGGUCAUAGAUGGGCUCGCGUCUGAUUAGCUAGUUGGUGAGAUAACAGCCCACCAAGGCGACGAUCAGUAGCCGGUCUGAGAGGAUGAACGGCCACAUUGGAACUGAGACACGGUCCAAACUCCUACGGGAGGCAGCAGUGGGGAAUAUUGCACAAUGGGGGAAACCCUGAUGCAGCGACGCCGCGUGAACGAAGAAGGUAUUCGUAUCGUAAAGUUCUGUCCUAUGGGAAGAUAAUGACAGUACCAUAGAAGAAAGCUCCGGCUAAAUACGUGCCAGCAGCCGCGGUAAUACGUAUGGAGCGAGCGUUGUCCGGAAUUAUUGGGCGUAAAGGGUACGCAGGCGGUUUAAUAAGUCGAAUGUUAAAGAUCGGGGCUCAACCCCGUAAAGCAUUGGAAACUGAUAAACUUGAGUAGUGGAGAGGAAAGUGGAAUUCCUAGUGUAGUGGUGAAAUACGUAGAUAUUAGGAGGAAUACCAGUAGCGAAGGCGACUUU